GGAGCCCAAUGAGGCAAGUGGUAUCGGUAUCCGUAUAGUGAACCUUGAGAGACUGGACCAACGGUGUGAGCGGCUAGGCAUGGUCGAGCCAAGGACGGGGCCAGUGGCUAGCGAUGCGGAGUGAGGCUGGUUCGUUUGUAUUGGGCCUUAUGAGGCGAACCUAUGGGAGUCAAGGGAGCGGAGCGCCAUGGCAAAGCGAGGGUCGAGUGGACGGUCGAGAAGCA
Molecule: long non-coding RNA, 224 nt
Filed under: Ananas comosus (pineapple)
Lineage: Eukaryota; Viridiplantae; Streptophyta; Magnoliopsida; Poales; Bromeliaceae
Description: long non-coding RNA (ACOM_LNC034465)
Source: RNAcentral